RNAcentral lists this unclassified non-coding RNA (704 nucleotides) under Hevea brasiliensis (rubber tree). The record is from RNAcentral. Lineage: Eukaryota; Viridiplantae; Streptophyta; Magnoliopsida; Malpighiales; Euphorbiaceae.
GGGUGUUGCAAGCACUGCUGUGCAGUUGGUCGAUUCUCAGGCUCAAAAUCAAGAAGGGGACAAAGAAAUUUGGCAAAUUCAAGAGCAUCAAUUUCAGAAAACCUGAACUUGUCGAUAAGUAAUUUUUCUAAAGACCCAUACUUCAGCCUCCGGAUCCUCUUCAAAUCUCCAUAUCUGUCAAAGUAAUCUUUAGAUCGAGCCCCACCAUUGGCUAUCUUCCGAGGUAUCUUUCCUAGAAGCUCCAUCAUCAUAGCAAGGUGAUCCUCAUCUUCACUGAAACCUUGUCCACCUUUGGGUGUGAACAUCAUCUCACCAGUGGCAAGCUCAAACGCAAUACAAGCAAAAGACCACAUGUCAGCAGAGAAUGAAUAUCCAGACUGAAGUAUAACUUCUGGAGAUCUAUACUGUCGUGUCUGAAUUUCUUGUGCAAACUGCUUGUCAGCCCAGCAUGCACUUCCAAAAUCCACAACCUUGCACUUCAAGUCAAUACCAUCGAGACUUCUAUUUGUUUUCGCACCUCCUCCUACCCCACCCAUUGAAGACCGUCUACCGGAUAUCCUGGCUGCUGCCCUCCUUGCCCUUUGUUUUAGCUUUUUCUCAAUAAUAUUCAUAGUUGCUCCUCCCUUUGGGAUCCCUUCAGGCCUUUCAAGUAUGGGCGGUGUUCCCGAUCUAAUUGGAUCCUUUGUGGCAUUUAUCGUGGAAAG